AUCGCUUCUCGGCUCUCUGAGCUAAGAUCAUGUGUAGUAUCUGUUCUUUGCAGUGUAAUUUCUNNNNNNNNNNUUUUUGGGCUACCGAUAUCCAUGCUGAAAAUUCCAUACUUGUACCAAAAAUACAGUGUGGAAUCAACGGGCUACCGAUAUCCAUGCUGAAAAUUCCACACUUGUACCAAAAAUACAGUGUGGAAUCAAGCUAU
This 206-nucleotide small nuclear RNA is filed under the name Trichobilharzia regenti. RNAcentral describes it as "U2 spliceosomal RNA". It matches the Rfam family "U2 spliceosomal RNA". From Rfam's summary of the family: U2 is a small nuclear RNA (snRNA) component of the spliceosome (involved in pre-mRNA splicing). Complementary binding between U2 snRNA (in an area lying towards the 5' end but 3' to hairpin I) and the branchpoint sequence (BPS) of the intron results the bulging out of an unpaired adenosine, on the BPS, which initiates a nucleophilic attack at the intronic 5' splice site, thus starting the first of two transesterification reactions that mediate splicing. The record is from Rfam by way of RNAcentral. Lineage: Eukaryota; Metazoa; Platyhelminthes; Trematoda; Strigeidida; Schistosomatidae.